Non-coding RNA from Myotis davidii, 75 nucleotides. The record is from Rfam. Lineage: Eukaryota; Metazoa; Chordata; Mammalia; Chiroptera; Vespertilionidae.
GGUGGUUCUUGGGUGACACACCCUGGAAUCAGGCUCCUUCCUCUCUGGUUCCAGGUGGGUCACCUGAAAUCCACA